GACGAACGCUGGCGGCGUGCCUAAUACAUGCAAGUCGAGCGGACCAAAGGGAGCUUGCUCCUGGAGGUUAGCGGCGAACGGGUGAGUAACACGUGGGCAACCUGCCUGUAAGACUGGGAUAACAUCGAGAAAUCGGUGCUAAUACCGGAUAAUAAAAGAACUGCAUGGUUCUUUUUGAAAGAUGGUUUCGGCUAUCACUUACAGAUGGGCCCGCGGCGGCAUUAGCUAGUUGGUGAGGUAACGGCUCACCAAGGCGACGAUGCGUAGCGACCUGANAGGGUGAUCGGCCACACUGGGACUGA
RNAcentral lists this ribosomal RNA (302 nucleotides) under uncultured bacterium. Its description in RNAcentral is "bacterial SSU rRNA". It matches the Rfam family "Bacterial small subunit ribosomal RNA", at positions 28 to 322 of the family's 1533-position model. The record is from RNAcentral.